This 404-nucleotide ribosomal RNA is filed under the name uncultured bacterium. RNAcentral's name for it is "bacterial SSU rRNA". It matches the Rfam family "Bacterial small subunit ribosomal RNA", at positions 355 to 776 of the family's 1533-position model. The record is from RNAcentral.
UGAGGAAUUUUCCGCAAUGGGCGAAAGCCUGACGGAGCGACGCCGUGUGUGUGAUGAAGUCCUUCGGGACGUAAAGCACUGUCAGGGGGGACGAUAUUGACGGUACCCCCAGAGGAAGGCCCGGCUAACUACGUGCCAGCAGCCGCGGUAAUACGUAGGGGCCAAGCGUUGUCCGGAAUUACUGGGCGUAAAGGGUUCGUAGGCUGCUUAAUAAGUCAGGUGUAAAAUUUCCCAGCUUAACUGGGAACCUGCAUUUGAUACUGUUUUGCUAGAGAAUAUCAGAGGAAAGCGGAACUUCCAGUGUAGCGGUGAAAUGCGUAGAUAUUGGAAGGAACACCAGUGGCGAAGGCGGCUUUCUGGGGUAUUUCUGACGCUGAGGAACGAAAGCUAGGGGAGCAAACGGG